This 402-nucleotide ribosomal RNA is filed under the name Bacteroidota bacterium. RNAcentral describes it as "Bacteroidetes bacterium partial 16S ribosomal RNA". It matches the Rfam family "Bacterial small subunit ribosomal RNA", at positions 355 to 776 of the family's 1533-position model. Lineage: Bacteria; Pseudomonadati; Bacteroidota. The record is from RNAcentral.
UGGGGAAUUUUGCACAAUGGGGGAAACCCUGAUGCAGCGACGCCGCGUGAUUUAGAAGGCCUUCGGGUUGUAAAAAUCUUUUCUAUGGGAAGAAAAUGACAGUACCAUAGGAAUAAGGACCGGCUAAUUACGUGCCAGCAGCCGCGGUAAUACGUAAGGUCCGAGCGUUGUCCGGAAUCAUUGGGCGUAAAGGGUACGUAGGCGGGUAAGCAAGUUAGAAGUGAAAUCCUGUAGCUCAACUACAGUAAGCUUUUACAACUGCUCAUCUUGAGAUAUGGAAGGGAAAGUGGAAUUCCUAGUGUAGCGGUGAAAUGCGCCAAUAUUAGGAGGAAUACCGGUGGCGAAGGCGACUUUCUGGCCAUAAUCUGACGCUGAGGUACAAAAGCGUGGGGAGCGAACAGG